GUUCGACCAAAGGUCCAAGGCAAACCACCACCUCCGCCGGACUCUCCAUGUCGUCUCCUGCCGCCCCCUGCCCACUCACUUCGCCGGUCGCCGCCUUGUGGCCAGGGCGCCCAGGCAGCAUCAACCUCGCCUCGCGGACUGGACCGUCAAGGCGCUCGCCAUGGGGGUCACCAAGGAGGCCAGCCCUCACAGGGAGUACCGGGGGAUCCCGG
RNAcentral lists this unclassified non-coding RNA (212 nucleotides) under Hevea brasiliensis (rubber tree). The record is from RNAcentral. Lineage: Eukaryota; Viridiplantae; Streptophyta; Magnoliopsida; Malpighiales; Euphorbiaceae.